UCUCUCUGCAGCAACCGCUGAUGAAAAGUCCUCUUGGGGGACAGCGCUGCUGCACGAGAUGCUCCUGGACUCGGCCCCCUCGGUCCUCUGAGUGGCCGGCGGGCGCCGGGGGCCGUGGUGCCGAGCGCGCGGGAAGCACGCAGGCAGGCGGCCCAGGCCCACAGCAGGCAAGGUCCGGAGCGUUCCGCGCCGACCGCACGCAGCCUACCCCAGUCUUCGCUGCCCGGAUUCUGAUUGGGCGCAGUCCGGGCACCUGAGCGCUCAUUGGAGGCACCGAGUGUUCGUCAUCACUCCCUCCCGCCUAUACUCGCCGGGGCGCCUGGUAGCAAGGCUUUGGCUGCGCAGGAUGGCGCUGGUUCUGGGGAAGGCAGCCUGCACAGAUCCGGGUGGUACUUGUUCUUCCAGAUUGUGUGCCUGAUGCUGCUGCGCGUGGCCUGAGCAUUCUUGAUGGUCCAUACGUAGGAAGUGGCUGGCUUUCGCUGGCCAGAUCUCCGCUUCAUGACCACCUCGACCUUUGCUGUUGGUGGCGGGCUCCAUGCCCACGGUCUUGUGGUCAAUCAGCCCGUUGUAGCGGGAGGAGUUGCGGGCCUUCAGGUUAUUGGGAUUGGUGCUGUACUUCUCUUGAGAAAACAAGCAGUUCCGCACAACCAUCAUUGCAGAUGCGCGGACAUGGCAGCAGCUCCUUUAGCUGUGGCGGCCAGAGAUGGGAAAGAACUCCCAUAAGAUUUUUAAGUAUUCUAACACCAUUUAUUGAAAUAUUAUCCUUUCCCUCCACUAGAUGCAUUGGCACCUUUGUUGAAACUUUUCCAUGUGUGAGGAUCUAGUUCUAGUCUUUCAGCUCUGUUUAUUGAUCCAUAUAUCUAUCCUUAUGCUAAUAACACUUGAUUAGUGUAGCUAAAGGUAGUAUUGAAAUCAGUAAGUAUAAAUCUUCCAGCUUGGUUUUUAUUUUGCAGAAUUUUUUUGGCUGUUUUCAGUACUCUGCUUUUCCAUAUAAAUUUUAGAAUUGCCUUUUCAAUUUCUACCAAAAAAAAAAGCCUAAUUGGAUUUUGAUUGGGAUUGCACUAAAUAUUUAGAUUUAGGAAGAAUCGAUAUCUGAACACUAUGGAGCCUUCUCAACCUAUAAACAUGAUAUAUCUUUCCUUAUUUUUUUUAUUUUGACACUUAAUUUCUCUUAGCAGUGUUUUUACCUUUUGGUGUACAGGUCUUGCAAAUAUUGUUAAAUUUAAGAACUGAGGAUGUGGGGAGAGUAAAAGAAGGAUGUUAAGGUGAAUGUGGUUGAUGUACUGUCUGUACAAGAAUGAAUAUAGAAUUUUUAUUUUUUUUUAUGAAUACAGAAUUUUUAAAUCCAUUGAAACCAACGUAAGAAGGGGACUAAGGUAGAAAGAAGAAAACUAGAGAUGAGCCAAUUUGGGUUAUAAUACAUGGAAAUGUCACAAGGAGACUCCCUGUGUAGCUGUCUUAAACAAAAAUGUCUUUUUUUUUUCUUUUUUAAGGUACUGGGGUUUGAACUCAGGGCCUACACCUUGAGCCACUCCACCAAAUCUUUUUUGUGUUAGAUGUUUUCGAGAUAGGGUCUCACGGAAUUAUUUUCCUGGGCUGGCUUCGAACCAUGAUCCUCCUGAUCUCUGCCUCCUGAAUAGCUAGGAUUAUUGGAGUGAGCUACCAGCGCCCUUUUUUUUUUUUU
Molecule: long non-coding RNA, 1684 nt
Organism: Castor canadensis (American beaver)
Lineage: Eukaryota; Metazoa; Chordata; Mammalia; Rodentia; Castoridae
Source: Ensembl